GAUGAACGCUGGCGGCGUGCCUAAUACAUGCAAGUCGAGCGAACAGAUAAGGAGCUUGCUCCUUUGACGUUAGCGGCGGACGGGUGAGUAACACGUGGGUAACCUACCUAUAAGACUGGGAUAACUUCGGGAAACCGGAGCUAAUACCGGAUAACAUUUGGAACCGCAUGGUUCUAAAGUGAAAGAUGGUUUUGCUAUCACUUAUAGAUGGACCCGCGCCGUAUUAGCUAGUUGGUAAGGUAACGGCUUACCAAGGCAACGAUACGUAGCCGACCUGAGAGGGUGAGCGGCCACACUGGAACUGAGACACGGUCCAGACUCCUACGGGAGGCAGCAGUAGGGAAUCUUCCGCAAUGGGCGAAAGCCUGACGGAGCAACGCCGCGUGAGUGAUGAAGGGUUUCGGCUCGUAAAACUCUGUUAUUAGGGAAGAACAAACGUGUAAGUAACUGUGCACGUCUUGACGGUACCUAAUCAGAAAGCCACGGCUAACUACGUG
RNAcentral lists this ribosomal RNA (497 nucleotides) under uncultured bacterium. RNAcentral's name for it is "partial 16S ribosomal RNA". It matches the Rfam family "Bacterial small subunit ribosomal RNA", at positions 28 to 507 of the family's 1533-position model. The record is from RNAcentral.